UAAGAAACUAAUAGAAGUAUAAUAGCAUAACUAAAGUUGAUUAAAAAAACCCAAAUGAAUCGGUAAAUAGUACAUGUGAUUACGACAGUAGUUGAAAUUCAGGUGAUGGAUUUUGGAGAAGAGGUUUUUAUUUCUUUUCUUUUGAUGCAUAGUAAUAGUGGAGAAGUGUUAGGUUUUAGGGAAGAGAAAAUUUUUUUUUUUUCCUUAAUAAUUGAUGGAUAUUUUUGUAAUUAAACAUACCUAUAAAAUCUGAUGUAAAAUAUAAAAUAAUAGGGGUGUGUAUUAAGAGAUUAGAGGUGUGUAUUUAAAAUUUCUCCAAAUGUAAUUGAAACAACUCCAAAACAAAAUGCAUGACCAGAUGACAUCCAAAGUGUAAAUUAAAAUAUGUGAUAGAUAUUAAAAUCUUGUCUAAACAUCAAUAUUCCUAAAACAGACACACCCAUAACCAUUCAGCUAGGCACAUCAAAUAAUACGAAAUUAAAAAGUACUCACCACGAACCUCACCAAGACCAAAAUAUUAAUACAUUGAAAGCUUUUCCAAUACAAACCAAACUAUUAACUUGCAAGUAAAAAAAAAAACAGAUAAAGUAAAUACCUGUCGUGACACUGAGGAUCACCGCCGGAAAAACAGAAAGAAACGUCUGCAAAACAGUUAGACACCCAAUUUGAUUAAACCAAAAAGAUUACUAACAUGCAAACCCAACCAAACCAAAAAACUUAAACAGCUAAUCCAAACAAAAGAACCGAUAAGCACCUGAGAGAAUGAGAUUGAUUGCAGACAGCGAAAGAACCAACACUGAAAACAGAACAAAAAUUAUCAACCCCAACCAAACAAUUGAUACUGAUGUUUUCAUUAAUUAUUUUUUUUUUUUUCCAUUAGAAAAGCUCAACGGCCCUGAUUCCGUAAUAUGGUAGGAUAGCAGCAACUCAACUUAAAUUAUAAUCAAAGGAUUACAACUAUCACCAU
This 967-nucleotide long non-coding RNA is filed under the name Fragaria vesca (wild strawberry). RNAcentral's name for it is "long non-coding RNA (FVES_LNC003986)". Lineage: Eukaryota; Viridiplantae; Streptophyta; Magnoliopsida; Rosales; Rosaceae. The record is from RNAcentral.